RNAcentral lists this ribosomal RNA (585 nucleotides) under Triticum aestivum (bread wheat). RNAcentral's name for it is "partial small subunit ribosomal RNA". The record is from RNAcentral. Lineage: Eukaryota; Viridiplantae; Streptophyta; Magnoliopsida; Poales; Poaceae.
AUAAGUAUCCUAAGCUGGAACUGCCGGGGUUUGGGGCAACCCCGGAAAGUUCAAGAGCUUGUGGGCUUGGUGCAAGCCCAUCGCCCUGGGAUCGUUUUCCUGUCUGAAACAAGGCAAUGCGAGGAAAAGGUGAAGACAAUAAAAUGGAGACUAGGUCUGAAGCACUGCCUUACUCAUGAUGGUAAGGGCAAAGGUGCGGGCAUUGCCUUGAACUGGGAUGAAUCAAUAAAAAUAAAGUGUUUGUCGUACGGCCCCCGUUAUUUUGAUGUUUUGGUGACUGAUGAUUCCCAUGGCCCUACGUGGCGUGCAACUUUUGUCUAUGGCGAACCAAGAGCGCAGGAUAGGCACCAUAUGUGGUCCUUGUUGAGAAGGAUCAAACCAAAUGCAAGUGAACCAUGGAUGGUAAUCGAGGAUUUUAACGAGACGAUGUGGCAAUCUAAACACUUCUCGAUACCUCGAAGAUCUGAAGGUCAAAUGGCAAGGUUCUGUAGUAUGUUAAAUUUCUGUGACUUGCAUGAUCUGGGGUUCAAAGGGAAGCCUUGGACCUUUAAAGGAUCGAUAAAGUUGACUAGAGGGGGGGGGUGA